CCUACGGGUGGCAGCAGUGAGGAAUCUUUGUCAAUGGACGAGAGUCUGAACCAGCCAAGUAGCGUGAAGGAUUACUGCCCUAUGGGUUGUAAACUUCUUUUAUAUGGGAAUAAAAUGUUCCACGUGUGGGAUUUUGUAUGUACCAUAUGAAUAAGGAUCGGCUAACUCCGUGCCAGCAGCCGCGGUAAUACGGAGGAUCCGAGCGUUAUCCGGAUUGAUUGGGUUUAAAGGGAGCGUAGGUGGAUUGUUAAGUCAGUUGUGAAAGUUUGCGGCUCAACCGUAAAAUUGCAGUUGAAACUGGCAGUCUUGAGUACAGUAGAGGUGGGCGGAAUUCGUGGUGUAGCAGUGAAAUGCUUAGAUAUCACGAAGAACUCUGAUUGCGGAGGCAGGUCACUGGACUUCAACUGACACUGAGGCUCGAAAGUGUGGGUAUCAAACAGGAUUAGAUACCCGAGUAGUC
RNAcentral lists this ribosomal RNA (460 nucleotides) under uncultured bacterium. Its description in RNAcentral is "partial 16S ribosomal RNA". It matches the Rfam family "Bacterial small subunit ribosomal RNA", at positions 338 to 795 of the family's 1533-position model. The record is from RNAcentral.